CCUCGGGGUGCAGCAGUGGGGAAUACUGCACAAUGGAGGAAACUCUGAUGCAGCAACGCCGCGUGGAGGAUGACACUUUUCGGAGCGUAAACUCCUUUUAUAUAGGAAGAAGAUGACGGUACUAUAUGAAUAAGCGCCGGCUAACUCCGUGCCAGCAGCCGCGGUAAUACGGAGGGCGCAAGCGUUACUCGGAAUCACUGGGCGUAAAGAGCGUGUAGGCGGAUUAAAAAGUCAGAAGUGAAAUCCUAUAGCUUAACUAUAGAACUGCUUCUGAAACUCUUAAUCUAGAAUAUGGGAGAGGUAGAUGGAAUUUCUGGUGUAGGGGUAAAAUCCGUAGAGAUCAGAAGGAAUACCGAUUGCGAAGGCGAUCUACUAGAACAUUAUUGACGCUGAGACGCGAAAGCGUGGGGAGCAAACAGGAUUAGAUACCCUCGUAGUC
This 439-nucleotide ribosomal RNA is filed under the name uncultured bacterium. RNAcentral describes it as "partial 16S ribosomal RNA". It matches the Rfam family "Bacterial small subunit ribosomal RNA", at positions 339 to 795 of the family's 1533-position model. The record is from RNAcentral.